RNAcentral lists this unclassified non-coding RNA (360 nucleotides) under fungal sp. Its description in RNAcentral is "partial internal transcribed spacer region". The stretch from base 1 to 46 matches the Rfam family "Eukaryotic small subunit ribosomal RNA", at positions 1786 to 1831 of the family's 1831-position model. Lineage: Eukaryota; Fungi. The record is from RNAcentral.
AAGUCGUAACAAGGUUUCCGUAGGUGAACCUGCGGAAGGAUCAUUAACACGUAUCCAAACGUUAAACAACCCCGUGAACAUACAACCUGCUCUGGUCGCCCGCUCGCAUGGACAAGCCCAGUAAAUCAAGCCCCGGAAAGUUUUUGAUUUGGGACCUUCAUAGAAGCGGUAGGUCAAGUGACACGGCGUCCCCAAGUGACCAGUGAAUGAAAGCGUCACUGGAGCGUCAAGGAUGACUCUUCAAGAUUGCUAGAGGUCGACCACCGACCGGCUAACGUGUAUACUGAGCUUAAAAUCGCUCCCUUCCGAACCCCACUUUAUUGCCUUGCCCAACUGUUAACAAUGGAUAUCUUGGUUCUC